This 253-nucleotide ribosomal RNA is filed under the name uncultured bacterium. Its description in RNAcentral is "partial 16S ribosomal RNA". It matches the Rfam family "Bacterial small subunit ribosomal RNA", at positions 524 to 776 of the family's 1533-position model. The record is from RNAcentral.
GACGAAGGGGGCUAGCGUUGUUCGGAUUCAUUGGGCGUAAAGGGUGCGUAGGCGGCGCGGUAAGUCGGGUGUGAAAUCUCGGAGCUUAACUCCGAAACUGCAUUCGAUACUGCCGUGCUUGAGGACUGGAGAGGAGACUGGAAUUUACGGUGUAGCGGUGAAAUGCGCAGAUAUCAGGAAGAACACCCGUGGCGAAGGCGGUUCUCUGGGACGGUACUGACGCUGAGACGCGAAAGCGUGGGGAGCGAACAGG